UGAGAUAAGGAACAUCAGGGUGGACGUUUUUACCCAGACGGGGUCCACCGUGGCUCGUCAGAAGACGACUCUGUCAAUGCUGCAUUCACAGGAUGUGUAAAGAACUUCCUGUGACCAGACGCGCUGCAGCUGAAGAUCUUUCCCAUUCUUUAUUUAUCGCGUCAAGGUGGUCAGAUGGUCGGGUCAUCUGAAUCAUCUGAAUCUCCCUGUAACUAGACACUGACAAGAGGAACGCUUCUGUGAGAGGCGAAACCAAGCAAGCUGUCAUAACGGAUUAUUUGCUGCACCAAAAGGCCUCCCCUUACUGAAGUUGCUGGGGGCCUCCAUGGACCACCGCUGACUGGAUGUUACUCUGGACAUUUUCGACACGGUCAUGUCAUCAUGCACUGCGGUCCGAGGAAAGGCAAUGCAGCUGGAGGCUUUUCCGUGUGCGUAGGUGCUGCGUGAAGAAGGGUCUGCCAGCCAUAUAUUUCCCGCCAUAUUCUGGUCCUGUGCUCAGAAUUGGGCCACUGAUGCCGUAUUGGAAGAUGGCUAGCGCCAACUGUGAAUGAAAACACCUAGAAGAGAAAGGCCUUGAUUUCCCUGGAGAACACUGGGAUGAACACACAACCGCGCACACACAGAGAGUCACUGCAGGCAACUUCAUCUCUGCAUACAAGACAUGGUCGACAUUCAGCAUCAAACCACUCUGUCUUUCGCGAUCAGUCCUCAGUGUAGCAAAUCGAGUCUGACUGACUGAACUUUUGGAGGCGGUAGCCGUUCAUGCUUCACGUGGCAUGGUUCUGUGCCAAUUUAUGUCGGAUAGACAAUUCACUGUACCCCUCUUGUUUUACACAGACUUGAGGGAAAAGGCUACUCGUUAGAUACUGUUUUCGCUGCAGAACAUGUGUUGUAGAGGUAAAUGUCAUGUUAUGGAGAAGGUGACUGGGGUCAAGUGCUCCAAAGCAGCCAGUAGAUGGGUCUCUUUCCCAAACAAACCCCCACCCCCUGCCACCAAUUCCAGUACCUGGGACAACAUUACUUAGACUGUUGGAGCUCAACUUUCUAUUUCUAAAACUUUCUACAUUCUAAAACAAUUGCUGAACUUGAUGAUUUACUGAUUACUUGAGGUGCAUGUUUUUGAGCAGCGAAGUCUUCAUAAUACUGUACUGGGCACUUCUGACGCAAAGCACAUGCAACCAACAAAAACUUAUGUUGAGUUCUGGAAGAUUUGGUUGCGUUUUGCUCUCUCCCUCUCUUUCUCUCUAAAUUAUAAUUUUGUGGGGUUUUGUACUUACAAUUUCUUAUUUUAUAUGUUUUGCUUUCCACUGACCAUUUUAAAUGAAUCUGACACAUGAAAUCUGGUUUGUAUUUGGUAAAAUAUAAAAAUUUAUUAAAAGUAGUGUAUUCAUCAAAAUAAAUAAAGUGUUUGUUUAAAUACUGGCUUUAAGAACAUAAGGUGCCCUUCUUGUAUAAGAUGAGACAUUCAGAAGUGCUCUGAUACAGCUUCACUGUAGGGACACUGAACAGCCAUGAAUCUUUCUGGACAGUAUCUGUUUUCUGACAGUUUCUGGAAGCUUCCCCUCCCAGGAUCUGUCCUGCCAUGGCCUGUAGGAGGUGGGACCAGAAGCCAAGACAACAGCUUUCCCAUUGGCUCUUGUUGGGGCACAUG
Molecule: long non-coding RNA, 1651 nt
Organism: Electrophorus electricus (electric eel)
Lineage: Eukaryota; Metazoa; Chordata; Actinopteri; Gymnotiformes; Gymnotidae
Source: RefSeq, a predicted model, not a curated record